Sinocyclocheilus anshuiensis is the source of this 86-nucleotide long non-coding RNA. RefSeq lists it as uncharacterized. The record is from RefSeq and is a predicted model, not a curated record. The transcript has 3 exons. Lineage: Eukaryota; Metazoa; Chordata; Actinopteri; Cypriniformes; Cyprinidae.
UGAACUGUUCAACGAAUAUUCAAAGGAUAUGACGAGUGGAGUACUCCGAGUCUUUGGCUUUACAGGAGCUGGAAUGCACACAGGAG